Molecule: long non-coding RNA, 1211 nt
Organism: Perca fluviatilis (European perch)
Lineage: Eukaryota; Metazoa; Chordata; Actinopteri; Perciformes; Percidae
Exons: 3
Source: RefSeq, a predicted model, not a curated record
UGCACUUGUCAGUCGCAGCUCGCAUGUGUGAGGGAGAGGACACAUGCGAGUCUAUAGAGAGAUAGGACACUUUGUAGCUUGAAUACUCUGCUCUUUUACACCAUUUUCUCUCAUCGGGUGCGAUCAGACACACAGGCUCUGAUAACACGGAAAAAUCCAAGGCGGAAUUUGAAAUAGUUGGAGGAUAUUGACUGUAGUGGAGUGGAGUUAUAGCCUGAUGUGCAAGAAAAUGCCGCCAAUGUCAGCCCUGAAGUUUGCGUCAACUCCCAAUGAGAACAAAUUGCCACCAGACAGGAUGAGGAGCAUCAGUCAGCCUGAGAUGGAAACACGGGUGGGUGGUUGGAAGGCUGGAUAAAGGCUGGUAGAUGACUGAACUCAGAGACCCGGCGCAGCUCAUCAUCAUUGCCAUGGGCUCUCGUCUUCCUCCUCUCCUCCUGUGGCCCAUACCUCCAUCCAGGGGUGCAGCAGACCAAUGUGAAGCCCAGGCGGGGAGCUAGUGAGUGGGCUGGGAAAGAUGGAGAAGGUCCCUGAAGGCUCGAAGCACCUCUGGAGCUACCGGCAUGCAGGAGAAAUCAAUAUAAAAACACAGAGCACAGCUCUGAGUGGGGCUUCCUGUGUUAGUCUGUGGCCUAGGGGCCCGCAGACCUCCAAAGGACAGGCCCUGUGUGGCCCUCUCAGCUGCAGCCCUGGCUCCUCAGACUGGACCUCAGUCCCAAUCUUCACUGGCUGUGUGUGGUUCUGCUGAAGGGGAUCUCUCCCCAAAUAAUAUCCAGAAUGUUGAGGGACCGCCGACAGGGAUAUUCCUUUCUCUUGAUUUUUUUCCCCCCUUCAUAAGAUUGACAUAUCCCCCACCUUGUGCCUCCGGCUGUUUAAAAAAACAGUUUGGGAGUGCUGCUUUUGACUUACUCUCCAAGCUCAACUCGCCCGUUGUUUAUUCCCCAACCAGUUUUUACAUUUGACAAAGAGACAGUACCGUCUUUAUUUUCUCUUCCACUCCUGGCUUGCUGUUACUAUGUUGAGCUGUAACAUGUGUCUGUUAAAACCGAAAAGAUUACUGGCACAUGAAGUAUGAUCAUCUUUUUUUUUUUUUUCUCCGUGAUGUCUGUUAUUCAAUUCCAGACCGUUAAAGACAAAAAAAAUUGACUGAAUAAAGAGGGAAAAAGAUGGCAGAGCAGAGAGAUUUCCCACCUUGUAGUGGAGAUGGCAAAAUG